This 480-nucleotide ribosomal RNA is filed under the name uncultured bacterium. Its description in RNAcentral is "partial 16S ribosomal RNA". It matches the Rfam family "Bacterial small subunit ribosomal RNA", at positions 356 to 827 of the family's 1533-position model. The record is from RNAcentral.
AGGGAAUCUUCCACAAUGGACGAAAGUCUGAUGGAGCAACGCCGCGUGAGUGAUGAAGGGUUUCGGCUCGUAAAACUCUGUUGUUGGAGAAGAACAGGUGAUAGAGUAACUGUUAUCAUCUUGACGGUAUCCAACCAGAAAGCCACGGCUAACUACGUGCCAGCAGCCGCGGUAAUACGUAGGUGGCAAGCGUUGUCCGGAUUUAUUGGGCGUAAAGCGAGCGCAGGCGGUUUUUUAGGUCUGAUGUGAAAGCCUUCGGCUUAACCGGAGAAGGGCAUCGGAAACCGGGAGACUUGAGUGCAGAAGAGGACAGUGGAACUCCAUGUGUAGCGGUGAAAUGCGUAGAUAUAUGGAAGAACACCAGUGGCGAAGGCGGCUGUCUGGUCUGUAACUGACGCUGAGGCUCGAAAGCAUGGGUAGCGAACAGGAUUAGAUACCCUUGGUAGUCCAUGCCGUAAACGAUGAGUGCUAAGUGUUGGA